GUCGCGAUAAGAAUAAAUGGGAGUUCGCCGGGCCUGCCUCCCGGAAGUGUUGGUUCGAAUCCAGCUGGCGACA
RNAcentral lists this transfer RNA (73 nucleotides) under Ficus carica (common fig). Its description in RNAcentral is "tRNA-Ala". It matches the Rfam family "tRNA". Rfam says of the family: Transfer RNA (tRNA) molecules are approximately 80 nucleotides in length. Their secondary structure includes four short double-helical elements and three loops (D, anti-codon, and T loops). Lineage: Eukaryota; Viridiplantae; Streptophyta; Magnoliopsida; Rosales; Moraceae. The record is from RNAcentral.